This 497-nucleotide ribosomal RNA is filed under the name uncultured bacterium. Its description in RNAcentral is "partial 16S ribosomal RNA". It matches the Rfam family "Bacterial small subunit ribosomal RNA", at positions 28 to 507 of the family's 1533-position model. The record is from RNAcentral.
GAUGAACGCUGGCGGCGUGCCUAAUACAUGCAAGUCGAGCGAACGGACGAGAAGCUUGCUUCUCUGAUGUUAGCGGCAGACGGGUGAGUAACACGUGGAUAACCUACCUAUAAGACUGGGAUAACUUCGGGAAACCGGAGCUAAUACCGGAUAAUAUUUUGAACCGCAUGGUUCAAAAGUGAAAGACGGUCUUUCUGUCACUUAUAGAUGGAUCCGCGCUGCAUUAGCUAGUUGGUAAGGUAACGGCUUACCAAGGCAACGAUGCAUAGCCGACGUGAGAGGGUGAUCGGCCACCCUGGAACUGAGACACGGUCAAGACUCCUACGGGAGGCAGCAGUAGGGAAUCUUCCGCAAUGGGCGAAAGCCUGACGGAGCAACGCCGCGUGAGUGAUGAAGGUCUUCGGAUCGUAAAACUCUGUUAUUAGGGAAGAACAUAUGUGUAAGUAACUGUGCACAUCUUGACGGUACCUAAUCAGAAAGCCACGGCUAACUACGUG